This 501-nucleotide ribosomal RNA is filed under the name uncultured bacterium. RNAcentral describes it as "bacterial SSU rRNA". It matches the Rfam family "Bacterial small subunit ribosomal RNA", at positions 28 to 485 of the family's 1533-position model. The record is from RNAcentral.
GACGAACGCUGGCGGCGUGGAUUAGGCAUGCAAGUCGAACGGUAUAAACCUUUCGGGGUUUAGAGAGUGGCGAACGGGUGAGUAACACGUAGGUAAUCUACCCUCAAAACGGGGACAACCCAGGGAAACUUGGGCUAAUACCGGAUGCGUGCAAGCAAUGUUUUGGCUGUUAAUGCUAUUCACGGAAGUGAGUAGUGUUAAUGGUUGAGAGCAUUAUUUGCAUAAAAGGUGGCAUAUGCUGCCGUUUGAGGAUGAGCCUGCGUCCUAUUAGCUAGUUGGUGGGGUAAAGGCCUACCAAGGCGACGAUCAGUAGCUGGUCUGAGAGGACGACCAGCCACACUGGGACUGAGACACGGCCCAGACUCCUACGGGAGGCAGCAGUCGAGAAUAGUCUACAAUGGCCGGAAGGCUGAUAGUGCGACGCCGCGUGAACGAGGGAGCCCUUCGGGGUGUAAAGUUCUUUUCUAUACGAGCAGUGCUAUAUAUAUGGAUAGUAUAUAU